RNAcentral lists this long non-coding RNA (1058 nucleotides) under Chrysemys picta bellii (western painted turtle). RNAcentral describes it as "lncRNA (ENSCPBG00000021094.1)". Lineage: Eukaryota; Metazoa; Chordata; Testudines; Emydidae. The record is from RNAcentral.
UGAUACAGUAACGCCUGGAUUGCACCGUGUUAUUCUAGCCAGCAGCUCUUGGGUUCCCUGCGCCCUUAGGGACACAAUUAAGGCCCCAGUCUUUAGGCAAAGGUAACUAUGGUAGCCAAACAUUAGCUGUUACUGUCAGUGGAGAAAAGCCUGGUCAAGAACUAAUGAGCCAUCAGCAUCAGCCCCCGUUAUCCCGCCCAGAGGGCAUUGGCGUGAUCAGCCCGGGCGCCAGGGACACAGGCUCGCUCGCGUUCAGCUUAGCUCGGUACCAAAGCGUUAGCCAGCCAAAUCCUCCGGGGUGGGGUGGGGGAAAGACGUUCUCAUUAUCCCGCUCGGCGCUGUGGCGGAGGCAGCUGGCCUGGCUGUCCAUUAAUAGAUUACACGGAGGAUUUGAGAUUGUUAACAGGGAAGAGCGCUUUAGCUGGAUCCAUGCUGGUAAAAGGCCACUGAGGCGCGCCCCACAGCGGAGGACGCAUCCUUUAGGAGGGACCUGUACUUCUCCCCCUCCCGGUUACACAUUUUCGGACAAGGUAUCCCGGAGUCUGGAUUCCCCAGCAGCUCCUGGAACCUUUAAUUUCGAGGUGGACGGAGAAAUGGGAACUGGACUUGGAAGGAGCUGGGGCGUGGGGGAAAGAGCGUGAACAAGAUGACUCAGGAAAUUGGUAUUUGUAAAGGCGCUUUUCACCUUUAGUUCACCGGCUAAGACUCUGGCUGGGCUGGUGUUAGACAAAGUUGUUCUCCUCGGGUGGCUGUUUGGUAUUGGCUUGGAAGGAUUCGAUUUUUAUCAGUAAAUAUCGAUAAACAUCAAUUUCACACAUCCACACACACAAAAAACUAUACAUCUGUCCAUCUAUGAGGAUGGAAAGGUACCCAAAGGCAAGGUAAGAAAAAUGCUGUUUGAGAGAAAGUAUUAGAGUUUGAUUUUUAGGAUAUUUACUUUGUAUAUUUUGACAUGCGAUGUUGAGCAUUUGUGUUUCAACAGUUAAAGCUUUAAUUUUUGGAAUCUCAGCAUCCACGGUCAUGAAACAAUUGUCUGCCCCUCCCCAGCCCGUGUCUGA